CCUACGGGGUGCAGCAGUGAGGAAUAUUUGUCAAUGGGCGCGAGCCUGCACCAGCCAAGUAGCGUGAAGGAUGACUGCCCUACGGGUUGUAAACUUCUUUUAUAAAGGAAUAAAGUGAGGCACGUGUGCCUUUUUGUAUGUACUUUAUGAAUAAGGAUCGGCUAACUCCGUGCCAGCAGCCGCGGUAAUACGGAGGAUCCGAGCGUUAUCCGGAUUUAUUGGGUUUAAAGGGAGCGUAGAUGGGUUGUUAAGUCAGUUGUGAAAGUUUGCGGCUCAACCGUAAAAUUGCAAUUGAUACUGGCAGUCUUGAGUACAGUUGAGGGAGGCGGAAUUCGUGGUGUAGCGGUGAAAUGCUGAGAUAUCACGAAGAACUCCGAGUGCGAAGGCAGCUGACGAAACUGCCACUGACAUUGAUGCUCGAAAGUGUGGGUAGCAAACAGGAUUAGAUACCCCAGUAGUC
This 460-nucleotide ribosomal RNA is filed under the name uncultured bacterium. Its description in RNAcentral is "partial 16S ribosomal RNA". It matches the Rfam family "Bacterial small subunit ribosomal RNA", at positions 338 to 795 of the family's 1533-position model. The record is from RNAcentral.